AAAGAUCCGUCGGAUGAGGAUAGGCUCGCGUGACAUUAGCUUGACGGCGGGGUAACGGCCCACCGUGGCGACGAUGUCUAGGGGUUCUGAGAGGAAGGUCCCCCACACUGGAACUGAGACACGGUCCAGACUCCUACGGGAGGCAGCAGUGAGGAAUAUUGGUCAAUGGCCGGAAGGCUGAACCAGCCAUGCCGCGUGAAGGUCAGUGCCCUAUGGGCGUUAAACUUCUUUUGUGCGGGAGCAAUAAGGUCCACGUGUGGACCGACGAGAGUACCGUACGAAUAAGCAUCGGCUAACUCCGUGCCAGCAGCCGCGGUAAUACGGGGGAUGCAAGCGUUAUCCGGAUUUAUUGGGUUUAAAGGGUGCGUAGGCUGUGAGGUAAGUCAGCGGUGAAAUGCCCCCGCUCAACGGGGUGAAGUGCCAUUGAUACUGCCUUGCUGGAAUGCGGAUGCCGUGGGAGGAAUGUGUGGUGUAGCGGUGAAAUGCAUAGAUAUCACACAGAACACCGAUUGCGAAGGCAUCUCACGAAUCCGCUAUUGACGCUGAUGCACGAAAGCGUGGGUAUCAAACAGGAUUAGAUACCCUGGUAGUCCACGCUGUAAACGAUGAUGACUAACCGUCGGCGAUACACAGUCG
Molecule: ribosomal RNA, 636 nt
Filed under: uncultured bacterium
Lineage: Bacteria
Description: bacterial SSU rRNA
Rfam family: Bacterial small subunit ribosomal RNA
Source: RNAcentral